This 301-nucleotide long non-coding RNA is filed under the name Elaeis guineensis (African oil palm). Its description in RNAcentral is "long non-coding RNA (EGUI_LNC043413)". Lineage: Eukaryota; Viridiplantae; Streptophyta; Magnoliopsida; Arecales; Arecaceae. The record is from RNAcentral.
AUAUUUUUUGAUUUUGAGUUUGACCUAAAUCCAAAAUAAGUAGAAUGCCAAUCUAAAAAUUUGAUUAAAAUUCACAUCGAGUUUUCGGAUCACAGAGAUCCAUUAUUACCGUUAAGGUGAUAAAUUGCUCUCCCACUGUUAAUUAAGUCAUCUUAUUUCAAUAGAUUGUGUUGGGUGUAAAACCCCCCCAGCCGAAGUUCGUGUCAGGAGUGACCCCUCGGGGACUCUACCGGCAUCCGACCUACAGCGGCAGAAAGACUUCGUCCGGACUCCUACGGGAAUCGGACUCCAUCUCCAACUU